RNA transcript from Chrysemys picta bellii (western painted turtle), 3711 nucleotides. It is a transcript of the gene named ATP binding cassette subfamily B member 7, with no coding region annotated. Lineage: Eukaryota; Metazoa; Chordata; Testudines; Emydidae. The record is from RefSeq and is a predicted model, not a curated record.
AUCCUCUCUGUCUUCUCUCUUGCUUUCAAGAUGGCGUUGUUGGGGGCUCCGCGGAGCCUGGCGGCUCUCGCCGCCUUCCAUCGGCGCAGGCUGCUGGCAGCUUCCCUGCUCCGGCAGCCGGCGGCCUGCGUCCACGGCUGGACAGCCGGCAGCGGGCUGAAGCGGAGCCAGCCCUCCCCGCGGAUCUAUCAGAUUCCCCAGACAUUCAGACAAGCUACAUGGCAGAGUUUGGGGAGUGGCUAUUCAAGACAAUUAUUAGAUGCUGCAAAGAAUCUCCAGCGGGGGCCACUGAUAGAUAAGAGAACAUGUUGGCAUGGUCAUGCAGGUGGAGGACUCCACACAGAUCCAAAGCAAGGGCUGAAAGAGAUAGAUGCUGGGAAGAUUAUCAGGGCAAUGUUAUCUUAUGUAUGGCCCAAAGACAGACCAGACCUACGAGCCAGAGUUGUCAUCUCUCUAGGAUUUUUGGCAGGUGCAAAGGGCAUGAAUAUAGUGGUUCCCUUCAUGUUUAAAUAUGCAGUAGACAACCUCAACCAGAUGUCUGGAAACAUGCUGAACCUGAGUGAUGCACCACAUACAGUUGCAACCAUGGCAACAGCUGUUCUGAUUGGCUAUGGUGUGUCAAGAGCUGGGGCUGCCUUAUUUAAUGAAGCGAGAAAUGCAGUAUUUGGGAAAGUAGCCCAAAAUUCUAUCAGAAGGAUAGCAAAGAAUGUCUUUCUCCAUCUGCAUAACCUGGAUUUGGGUUUCCACCUGGACAGACAGACAGGAGCUCUGUCAAAAGCUAUUGACAGGGGAACAAGGGGCAUCAGCUUUGUGCUGAGUGCUUUAGUAUUUAAUCUGGGACCCACCGUAUUUGAAAUGGCACUUGUGAGUGGAAUUCUGUAUUAUAAAUGCGGUGCACCAUUUGCAUUUGUAGCCCUGGGGACACUCGGUGCAUAUACAGCAUUCACGAUAGGAGUUACACAGUGGAGGACUAAAUUUAGAAUAGAAAUGAACAAAGCAGAUAAUGAUGCAGGUAAUGCUGCAAUUGACUCGCUGUUAAAUUAUGAAACUGUGAAGUAUUUCAAUAAUGAAAAAUAUGAAGCCCAGCGAUAUGAUGGAUUUUUGAAGACCUAUGAAAAUGCCUCACUGAAGACUACCUCUACCUUAGCUAUGCUGAACUUUGGGCAAAGCGCUAUAUUCAGCGUUGGCUUAACAGCCAUUAUGGUGCUUGCUAGUCAGGGAAUUGUUGCAGGGAACUUGACAGUUGGUGAUCUGGUAAUGGUGAAUGGACUGCUAUUCCAGCUUUCUCUACCACUUAACUUCCUGGGAACAGUGUACAGAGAGACUAGGCAAGCUCUCAUAGAUAUGAACACCUUGUUUACACUGCUUAGCGUAGACACAAGAAUUAAAGACAAAGAGCUGGCUCCACCGCUGCACAUCACACCACAGACUGCUACCAUCGCCUUUGAUAACGUGUAUUUUGAAUACCUUGAGGGGCAGAAAGUCCUUAAUGGAGUGUCUUUUGAAGUCCCUGCAGGAAAGAAAGUGGCCAUUGUAGGAGGUAGUGGGUCAGGAAAAAGCACAAUAGUAAGAUUACUAUUCCGCUUCUUUGAACCCCAGAAAGGAAAUAUUUAUGUUGCUGGUCAGAAUAUACAAGACAUCAGCUUGGAAAGCCUGAGGAAGGCUAUAGGCGUUGUACCUCAGGAUGCCGUUCUAUUCCAUAACACCAUCUACUACAACCUCUUGUAUGGUAAUAUUGGUGCAUCAGCAGAAGAGGUGUAUGCAGUAGCAAAGUUGGCAGGAAUCCAUGAUGCUAUUACCCGAAUGCCCAAUGGGUACAACACACAAGUUGGUGAACGAGGACUCAAGCUCUCAGGAGGGGAAAAGCAAAGAGUUGCUAUUGCCAGAGCCAUCUUAAAGAAUCCUCCUAUUAUUCUCUACGAUGAAGCCACAUCAUCUUUAGAUUCAAUUACAGAAGAGAACAUUCUCAGUGCCAUGAGGGACCUGGUAAAGCACAGAACAACUGUUUUCAUUGCACACAGAUUGUCAACAGUAGUUGAUGCAGAUGAAAUCCUUGUCCUGGAUCAGGGUAAAGUUGCUGAGCGUGGUAGCCAUUUAGAUCUUCUUGCCAGUCCCAGCAGUCUCUACUAUGAGAUGUGGCACACACAGAGCAGCAGAAUACUAAAUAGUAAUAUCAACCAGAAAUGGGAAGAGAGAAAUAACCAUAUGUCCAAAGAAGAGGAAAGGAAGAAACUACAAGAGGAAAUUAUCAACAGUGUGAAGGGCUGUGGAAACUGUUCCUGCUAAAUGUGCGAUGCAGGAUUAAAUUUCUGCUGCCGGUUAAAGGGUGAUACAAGACUGCACUGAAGCACAGCUGUGAUUUGAAAACAUAAACAAUUCAGACACUUCCUGGUUGGUUUUGGUUUUUUACGGUAUCUCAACGCAGCAUAACUUCUCUAACCAAAGGAUUUAUUUCUACAUUGUCAGAAUCUCUAAUAUUUAAUGAGGCCCACACUGAGCUUCUACGUUGGUAGCAAGAUUUUUGUGGGUGUCUGGACACAGGAUUGCACCAUCUCACCUAAAAUAUACACAAGGGUCCCCAGCUGCAAAUGCCAGGAGAACCACAAUUUUGAGGGCCUGACGUCUGUGUUUUAAAAACACAACCAUAAUGUUGUUUUGUUUGGAUUUAAUAUAUUGCAUUGUCCAUUGUGGGAAGAUGGCAGUAGAAUCUUGUGAAAACUAAAAGUAGAAAUAAGGAAACUGAGAAUCUUCUGUAAGUAAGGAACAGGUUGGUAAUAACAUACUUUCAAAUGUAAUAAAAUAUUUAAUUAAACCUGGAGAAUAUCUUAAUAUUUUAUUAAUUACAUUUAUAAUGCUUAUUUCCAGCCCUAUUUUCUACCUAUUAAAACUUCCCAGUGGGUCAGAAGUUGUAAUAGUAAUCUAUGCUUCAAUUCCCAGUGCAUUAGUUACAGGAUAUGCUGUGUGUCUGACUCUAUCAGUGCUGCAGAUGCCUGUCUGUGCCACAUACUCUCAGUGCUAAUAGUGCUGAAGCUAUUUACGUGGUCCUGUGAAAACAGAUGCAUCUAUUUUAAAUUAACUAAAUAUAUAGGGCCAUGUUCUGAUUCUCAGUGGUUCUCAACUUUUUCCAUACUGUGAUACCUCCUUCAAUUUGCAAUAUGAAAAGGGGCAGGGUGGUCAUGAUCUCCCAAAAACACUUGUCUGUGACCUCCCCCAGUUGAGAACCUAUACCCUUACUCCGAUUGAGUUGAACCUUACUCCACAGAGGGUCCCCCUGAAGUCAAUGGGACCACUUGUAGAAUAACCUUACUCAUGCUCGAUAGCACCUUCUUAGAAAUCUGUCCCCUAGUGACAAAGUGAGGUAGAGGGUCUCAUAACUGAACACUUAUAGUGAUAAACAAUAUUGAAAAAUAAAGCAGCCUCUUAAUUUAAAUGAACGUGUGAAGGUAAAAUGUCAUAUUUUAGAUGUUUUUAUGUAUUAAUAAUUGGAUAAUUAAAAAAACAACAUAACACUUCUAUUCCUAAUAGAUAACCAUCUCUUGUCCACAUAUAAACGUUUGUAGUGCUUAAAUGUUCAAUGCAAACUACCUGACAGUUUUCAGUAAAUUUGUUAGUCUCUAAGGUGCCACAAGGACUCCUCGUUGUUUUUACCUGACAGUGUGUCAUGUAAUUCCUCCUGCAAAAGAACUACUGCAGAAUAAAAGUUGACUUGUA